AGCAUGUCCUGAGCUCUGGUGGAGUGGU
RNAcentral lists this small RNA (28 nucleotides) under Bombyx mori (domestic silkworm). RNAcentral's name for it is "ovarian small RNA-12052". The record is from RNAcentral. Lineage: Eukaryota; Metazoa; Arthropoda; Insecta; Lepidoptera; Bombycidae.